This 440-nucleotide ribosomal RNA is filed under the name uncultured bacterium. RNAcentral describes it as "partial 16S ribosomal RNA". It matches the Rfam family "Bacterial small subunit ribosomal RNA", at positions 338 to 795 of the family's 1533-position model. The record is from RNAcentral.
CCUACGGGUGGCAGCAGUGGGGGAUAUUGCACAAUGGGGGAAACCCUGAUGCAGCGACGCCGCGUGGGUGAAGAAGCGCCUCGGCGCGUAAAGCCCUGUCAGCAGGGAAGAAAAUGACGGUACCUGAAGAAGAAGCCCCGGCUAACUACGUGCCAGCAGCCGCGGUAAUACGUAGGGGGCAAGCGUUAUCCGGAUUUACUGGGUGUAAAGGGGGCGCAGACGGCGAUGCAAGCCAGGAGUGAAAGCCCGGGGCCCAACCCCGGGACUGCUCUUGGAACUGCGUGACUAGAGUGCAGGAGGGGCAGGCGGAAUUCCAGGGGUAGCGGUGAAAUGCGUAGAUAUCAGGAGGAACACCGGUGGCGAAGGCGGCCGGCUGGACUGCAACUGACGUUGAGGCCCGAAAGCGUGGGGAGCAAACAGGAUUAGAUACCCGAGUAGUC